Molecule: ribosomal RNA, 465 nt
Filed under: Vreelandella stevensii
Lineage: Bacteria; Pseudomonadati; Pseudomonadota; Gammaproteobacteria; Oceanospirillales; Halomonadaceae
Description: partial 16S ribosomal RNA
Rfam family: Bacterial small subunit ribosomal RNA
Source: RNAcentral
CCUACGGGGGGCAGCAGUGGGGAAUAUUGGACAGUGGGGGGAACCCUGAUCCAGCCAUGCCGCGUGUGUGAAGAAGGCCCUCGGGUUGUAAAGCACUUUCAGUGAGGAAGAACGCCUGGUGGUUAAUACCCAUCAGGAAAGACAUCACUCACAGAAGAAGCACCGGCUAACUCCGUGCCAGCAGCCGCGGUAAUACGGAGGGUGCGAGCGUUAAUCGGAAUUACUGGGCGUAAAGCGCGCGUAGGUGGCUUGAUAAGCCGGUUGUGAAAGCCCCGGGCUCAACCUGGGAACGGCAUCCGGAACUGUCAAGCUAGAGUGCAGGAGAGGAAGGUAGAAUUCCCGGUGUAGCGGUGAAAUGCGUAGAGAUCGGGAGGAAUACCAGUGGCGAAGGCGGCCUUCUGGACUGACACUGACACUGAGGUGCGAAAGCGUGGGUAGCAAACAGGAUUAGAUACCCGUGUAGUC